AUGGACCCGGCCCCGCAGCUCAAGGCCGAGCCCUGGCGCCCGCCGCACCGCGCCGGCGCGGCCGGCGGGCGCGCGGCGGGGGAGGCGUCCUCCGCCGUCACGGGCCAGAGCAGCGGCAGCCGCCCGCGGAGGAGGCAGCGGGAGCCUCCCGCCUCCGAGGACGACUCGGCCUCCGCCAGGCCCGUCUCCACCUCCGGCGGCGGCGGCCAGGAUUUGACUGAUGCAGAAGCAAAGCGUUUCAAGGCAAAUAAAUCCAGUGAUGAGAAUGGCAGUUUCAGAAAAGAUGCUGAAGCUGAUUCAAGAAAUGCUAGUAAGGCUGUUGAUCAAAAUCCUCCACCACCAAAGCAAGAUUUCAUCCAUGUGAGGGCAAGAAGGGGUCAAGCAACUGACAGCCAUAGCCUUGCAGAAAGGGCACGACGUGAGAAAAUAACCGAGCGGAUGAAAAUUCUCCAAGAUCUUGUCCCUGGAUGUAAUAAGGUUAUUGGCAAAGCAUCAGUCCUCGAUGAGAUAAUCAAUUAUGUCCAAGCUUUGGAACGUCAAAUUGAGUUCCUGUCCAUGAAGCUCGAGGCGGUUAAUGCCCAUGCCCAUGCUCACAACGGAGUUGAAACAUUUCCAACUAAAGACUUUGCUGCGCCAACGUACAACACAGCUCCAGGGUUAACAUUUGACCCACAAACACCAAGGGAGUACGCCCAGGGCUCGCCGGCUGCAGAAUGGCUUCACAUGCAGAUUGGUGGCACCUACGAAAGAGUGACAUGA
Molecule: ribosomal RNA, 759 nt
Filed under: Triticum aestivum (bread wheat)
Lineage: Eukaryota; Viridiplantae; Streptophyta; Magnoliopsida; Poales; Poaceae
Description: partial small subunit ribosomal RNA
Source: RNAcentral